This 459-nucleotide ribosomal RNA is filed under the name uncultured bacterium. RNAcentral describes it as "partial 16S ribosomal RNA". It matches the Rfam family "Bacterial small subunit ribosomal RNA", at positions 338 to 795 of the family's 1533-position model. The record is from RNAcentral.
CCUACGGGAGGCAGCAGUGAGGAAUCUUUGUCACUGGGCGCGAGCCUGAACCAGCCAAGUCGCGUGAGGGAAGACGGUCCUAUGGAUUGUAAACCUCUUUUGUCGGGGAGCAAAAGACGCCACGCGUGGCGUUCCGAGAGUACCCGACGAACAAGCAUCGGCUAACUCCGUGCCAGCAGCCGCGGUAAUACGGAGGAUGCGAGCGUUAUCCGGAUUUAUUGGGUUUAAAGGGUGCGCAGGCGGAAGAUCAAGUCAGCGGUAAAAUUGAGAGGCUCAACCUCUUCGAGCCGUUGAAACUGGUGUUCUUGAGUGAGCGAGAAGUAGGCGGAAGGCGUGGUGUAGCGGUGAAAUGCAUAGAUAUCACGCAGAACUCCGAUUGCGAAGGCAGCAUACCGGCGCUCAACUGACGCUCAUGCACGAAAGUGUGGGUAUCGAACAGGAUUAGAUACCCCAGUAGUC